CAGGAUUAGAUACCCUGGUAGUCCACGCCGUAAACGAUGUCGACUUGGAGGUUGUGCCCUUGAGGCGUGGCUUCCGGAGCUAACGCGUUAAGUCGACCGCCUGGGGAGUACGGCCGCAAGGUUAAAACUCAAAUGAAUUGACGGGGGCCCGCACAAGCGGUGGAGCAUGUGGUUUAAUUCGAUGCAACGCGAAGAACCUUACCUGGUCUUGACAUCCACAGAAGUUUUCAGAGAUGGGAAGGUGCCUUCGGGAACUGUGAGACAGGUGCUGCAUGGCUGUCGUCAGCUCGUGUUGUGAAAUGUUGGGUUAAGUCCCGCAACGAGCGCAACCCUUAUCCUUUGUUGCCAGCGGUCCGGCCGGGAACUCAAAGGAGACUGCCAGUGAUAAACUGGAGGAAGGUGGGGAUGACGUCAAGUCAUCAUGGCCCUUACGACCAGGGCUACACACGUGCUACAAUGGCGCAUACAAAGAGAAGCGACCUCGCGAGAGCAAGCGGACCUCAUAAAGUGCGUCGUAGUCCGGAUUGGAGUCUGCAACUCGACUCCAUGAAGUCGGAAUCGCUAGUAAUCGUGGAUCAGAAUGCCACGGUGAAUACGUUCCCGGGCCUUGUACACACCGCCCGUCACACCAUGGGAGUGGGUUGCAAAAGAAGUAGGUAGCUUAACCUUCGGGAGGGCGCUUACCACUUUGUGAUUCAUGACUGGGGUGAAGUCGUAACAAGGUAACC
This 728-nucleotide ribosomal RNA is filed under the name uncultured bacterium. RNAcentral describes it as "bacterial SSU rRNA". It matches the Rfam family "Bacterial small subunit ribosomal RNA", at positions 773 to 1501 of the family's 1533-position model. The record is from RNAcentral.